Molecule: ribosomal RNA, 233 nt
Filed under: uncultured Lactobacillus sp.
Lineage: Bacteria; Bacillati; Bacillota; Bacilli; Lactobacillales; Lactobacillaceae
Description: partial 16S ribosomal RNA
Rfam family: Bacterial small subunit ribosomal RNA
Source: RNAcentral
CCCAAGAGAUCGGGAUAACACCUGGAAACAGAUGCUAAUACCGGAUAACAACAGAUGAUGCCUAUCAACUGUUUAAAAGAUGGUUCUGCUAUCACUCUUGGAUGGACCUGCGGUGCAUUAGCUAGUUGGUAGGGUAACGGCCUACCAAGGCGAUGAUGCAUAGCCGAGUUGAGAGACUGAUCGGCCACAAUGGGACUGAGACACGGCCCAUACUCCUACGGGAGGCAGCAGGC